AUGUAAUUACUUAAAUUGGAAUGCAUUAUGGCAUUCCAGUUAGCAAAAUAAGUAUCAAAUGUGGGGCGUAAGCUAUGCUUGCUUGAAAAUCAGCAUCAGUUUAAGGUUGCUAUCUAGCAAUAGGCUUUCUGUCAGAAAAGGGAGGAGCAGAAAUGCAGAAUCAAAAUUAUAUAUUUAAAUCAAGUUUCCUUGCUCGAUGAUUGAAAUAAUAACUACACUUGGAUGUGGUAAAUCGUUUUGAAUUAACCUGGCCUGAGUGUGUAUCUUCCUGCAGUGAACCGCAGGAGGAGUGUUUUGACACACAAUGUGUUUCACCAAAUGUUGAUGGAUAUUUUUAAAUAGGAGAACAAAAAGCAGAAUAUUGGUUAUGGCCUUUCCUGUGAAUCUGUAACAGGUAAGUUCUGAAGCUAGAUGGAAACAGGAAAAUAUCAGAAGAACUGUUCUGAUCAAGUGACAGGAUCAUAGCACAGACUGGAUGCUGGUAAUGGUAAACUCUUGCUGCUUAUUUUGAUGCUAUCUUCCCCUGCAGUGUUAAGGAAGAUGCUCCAUCUCUGUCCCAUGGAGAAUGUCUGCUGUCCAGCUGGACUGAUCUAACAUCUUGCUGUUCCUAAAAGGUGUCCCCACACCCAAGCCUUGUGGUUCCUGCCUGCUGCAGCUCUGACGCUCAGCUGACCCUUCAGUGUUGAGUCUGCCCAAGGAGGAGUCAGACAGGCACCAGGCAGCGAGAAGAGGGAUGAGGACCAACCAAAUCUGGGAAAACAAAUUGCAGCCUAUGCCUUUAGUUUCUUCAUCUGCUACAACAGGAAUCAUGCUCGGCUACCUUACAAGAUUGCUAAAAAGGUUUUAUAAUGUGUGCAUUCAAGGCAUCGUAAGUGCUGAGAAAGGGCUUAUAGAAGCAAUCCUGCCUUGCUGUAUGCUGAAUAUGCUGCUAUUUUGCUGUAAAGAAAUAUUCCUUAAGAGAUAUUAUAAAGAUAUUGAAUUACCAUUGAUAAUAGCAAUUCUGCUGUCCCAUGUCAGCUGUGCAGUCACUUAA
Molecule: long non-coding RNA, 1033 nt
Filed under: Anser cygnoides (Swan goose)
Lineage: Eukaryota; Metazoa; Chordata; Aves; Anseriformes; Anatidae
Description: lncRNA (ENSACDG00005018721.1)
Source: RNAcentral